RNAcentral lists this ribosomal RNA (251 nucleotides) under uncultured bacterium. RNAcentral's name for it is "partial 16S ribosomal RNA". It matches the Rfam family "Bacterial small subunit ribosomal RNA", at positions 1249 to 1500 of the family's 1533-position model. The record is from RNAcentral.
ACGAAGCCGCGAGGUGGAGNAAACCCAAAAAAGACAGUCUCAGUUCGGAUUGAAGGCUGAAAUUCGCCUUCAUGAAGCCGGAAUUGCUAGUAAUGGCAGGUCAGCAUACUGCCGUGAAUACGUUCCCGGGCCUUGUACACACCGCCCGUCACACCAUGAGAGUUGGGGAUACCCGAAGCCUGUGAGCUAACUUUUAGAGGCAGCAGUCGAAGGUAGAAUCAAUGAUUGGGGUGAAGUCGUAACAAGGUAGC